Molecule: long non-coding RNA, 885 nt
Filed under: Homo sapiens (human)
Lineage: Eukaryota; Metazoa; Chordata; Mammalia; Primates; Hominidae
Description: non-protein coding LINC02229:7
Source: RNAcentral
AAAGUUUAUUUCUCCUGUGGAAUAUUUCUACGUGGUUUCCUAGUUGGUGAAUGGCUCUCCUUGCCAUGACUCAGACAUCCAGCUUUCUUCCAUCUGGGAGUUCUGCCAUCCCCUAGGGCCUUGAUGUCACUUAUAUCCAGCCAGCGUAAUGGGAAAGGGAACAUGGAAAAGAAAUAAUGACUUCUUAAAAGCCAUGGCUCAUUGUGACACGUCACUUCCGCUGACAUUCCAUUGGUAAGUACUAGUCAUAUGUCCACACCUAGAUGCAGAGGGUGCUGGGAGACACAGUUCCUGGCCAGACAGCUGCUUCCCAGUGACAAAUCUACUUUAUAUCAAGAGUGAAAUCAUCCAGAAUAGAGUGAAUUCGGGCUUCAGAGCGGCUGUUUAGGAUUCAGAGCUCUACCAACAUGAGCAAUCUGUUGGCAUGACAGGUCAGAGAAGCCGUGAAGGACAUGGAAGGAAGUAGAUGGAACUGGAAACAGGAGGCCAACCCCAGCAGUCAGUGGUGCUCAGAAAAAAAUAAGACACUGAAAUUUGAGGACUUAAUGGAGUUUGGUGCCUUCAGUUAGCUGAUGUCUAUGAAGCCUGACCAGUCUACUUCUAGUCUAUAAGAUCAUGUGGAAGCUUCAGUGACAAACUUCUACUUUACUAAUGAUUUUAUGAUCCUGUUACCCAUUGCAAUUGCUUAAAUGGUAUUUUAAUUAGCUGCUUUAAAUGACUUUGCUUUUUUACAAAAAGCAGUGUGUGCUUUAGUUUAAAAUAUGGGUCACUGGUGUUUCUUUCUAGAAGAUGACUGUGUUUAGUACCAGGGAAAAUUGGUGAUGUAUUUGGAGAGGUUUUAACUUCUGUAACUCAGGUUGAUAUCUGGAAUGUGAGUGUUUCCAU